CCCGCCGCUCACCGCGCGGGAUUCAGAUCAGAUCAGGCCCCCGCUGGGCGCUCGACUCCUUGGCGGCGGUGGCCCCCGCGACCAGUGGCCCCAUCCUCUUGGAAUCCAGACCCGGCGCCCUCCGCCGCCCCUGCCCAAAGCCGGCCUCAGGUUGGAGUUGGACGAGGGGGCUGCGAGCCGCCUGUCCGCUCGCCGCCUAUUCCAUGAGCGCCGCCGGCCUUGGGUUGGAUGAGGGCGCCGCGGCCCCGGACCCCGGACGGCGUACCGACCUGUAGUGCCUCGGGCUGGCGAGGGCGCUGCAGCUGUGAUGGACCCGCGCGUGGUGGUGGCCUGGGGGCCAGGCCGGCCGAUGGCCUUGGCGCCGCUGAUCCCUCCGUGUGGAGGCCCUCUCCUCCCCUGCGGUGGUGGCCUGGAGUCAGGGCAAUGGCCUGGGCGCGGCUGCCCCCUCCGUCACCGGCCCUUCCGGCCAAGAUGGGGGAGUAAAGGGACAAGGCACUCAAGGAGCUCAUGGAUCAGGUGGCCAUGAAGCAGCCCAACAGCUCGUGCCGCGGCAUCAAGGAGAAUUUCUGGGAGAGCCAGGGCUUCAAGUUCAUCGCCUCCAUAUCGAUGCUAGCCCUGGUGAUCCUUGCAAAACGAUGAAAACGGCAUCCUGAACCCAAUCAUGUGUAUAGAAGUUAAGAUUCCAGCGUUAGGUGGGCAUCUAGCUCACAGUUUAAGAAGCUGUUGAUGUAGCAGCUUACAUUAGUUUGUAGACUAGGGCAGUUGAGCUUGCUGCAUGAUCAGAUGUCCAGACUGAAAUUUGCUAACAUUCAAUCCUAUUGCUGUAGACUGUAAUAGAUGUAGUCUGUACUCUGUACUUUGUAGUGCAGUUUCUGCCAGUUCAUGUAAGCUCAUAAGCUGUCUUGUAGUGACACCUAGUUCGUGUAAGCUCAUGAGCAGUCUUGUAGUCAUGGAUCUACAUCAUAUAAUCUCAGAGUAGUUGCUACAGUGGUUGCUGCAUUU
Long non-coding RNA from Panicum virgatum (switchgrass), 1002 nucleotides. RefSeq lists it as uncharacterized. The transcript is spliced from 2 exons. The record is from RefSeq and is a predicted model, not a curated record. NCBI's taxonomy places the organism in Eukaryota, Viridiplantae, Streptophyta, Magnoliopsida, Poales, Poaceae.